This is a microRNA precursor of Oreochromis aureus, 64 nucleotides long. NCBI's taxonomy places the organism in Eukaryota, Metazoa, Chordata, Actinopteri, Cichliformes, Cichlidae. The record is from Ensembl.
AAAAGGGCAUUAACCUAAGCACUAACAAGUUAUACUCAAGGGUGCGUAGUUAGUUCCCUUUUUA